This 1771-nucleotide long non-coding RNA is filed under the name Canis lupus familiaris (dog). RNAcentral's name for it is "lncRNA (ENSCAFG00845029444.1)". Lineage: Eukaryota; Metazoa; Chordata; Mammalia; Carnivora; Canidae. The record is from RNAcentral.
AUGCGGAAGCCGUCUAGACAGGCGGGGGGGCAAGUUUCCGUGGAAAGACAGAUGCAGCGGUGGAGUGUGCCUCGCCCCCUACAAGGGCUCCACCAGGGAUGCAGAGGUGAGUGCCUGGGGAGAUCACAGAUCAGGACUACGACUACGGCACAGUCUCCCCCAGUCAUCCCGAAGAAGAAAGUCAGGAGCUCGGCGUUGCUGCAGAGGGCACGAAAUCUUGCUCAACGGGAACAUUCUGUGCUGAUCUGUGGUGACGUGGGGCUGCUAGAGGGAGGAACAGCUGAGAGCAACUCGGGAGAGUGUGUGUGACCAAGUAUUACAGAGAGGAAGGCGGAUUUAAUAAAGCGGUCUGGACAGCUCCCGGAGGUCACCCUUGUUGGAAUCAAGUCACUGACCGAAUUCCUGUGAGAAUGAUCUGAUUGGUGAGGUCUGGAGAAAACAACCAGCCCACUGAAAUCGAUCAUACUGAGGACACCUCGGUGUGACACAUCACGUGGAAACUAUUUUGAAAAACUCCACAGGUUUAACUUGCAAAAACAUGGGCACAUCUACAGUCUAACACGAUUGCGUGAGAAUAGUUGACAACAUGAGAAUAUUUGUAAAUCAGAAAUGGAAUCACGUAUACCCACUUCCAAUGUCCUCCGAAGUUCUGCGACAGCUGUUUGAAUUAAUUCUUGGCGCCCUGAUGGCAGCAUCUCUGCACUACAUUCCUUAUUAUCUCCCCGCAUGAUAGCCCUUAUGUGAAUACCCAAGCCCUUGAACAGUCCCCUUAUCGGAGUCAUUCUUUGGAAUGUGACAUUAUUAAAGAGAUAUACUUGAUCUCGGUUUUAAACCUUGGAGAGAAGAAACCAUGAGUGGGUUUCUUCAAAUGAAAGUGUCAAACAGGAAUAGGCUCUGGCAGGGAAAUCUGUCCUGAAAUGCCAACUCGUUCUCCACUGAGGCGGUGUUAUCAGGUUGACCUCCAGCUCGCCGGGGAGUGCUCUAAAUGUGCAGUGCUGCUGGCCCGCAGCACGUAUUCUGAGAAAUUCUCAAAGAUCGAUUUUACUUCCUGGGGAAAUGCUAUUUAUUCGCAUCUGUUUUCAAGGUUCUUAAGGGGGGGAAAAACAAACAGAAAAAAUGCUUGUCUUCCCACUGCCUACAGGCAGGCUCAGAGAAUGACAUUACCAUGCCUUUUAAAAAGUAUUGAAUUAGCUGGCUAAUAAUGUUUUCUUCUAAAUUAUUCUAAAAAGAAAAAUAGUUGGCAUGUAUUAGGCCAUGUUUUACAUAAAAAAGCAAUUUUGGUAUUGACUGAAAUAAUUUAAAUCAAUUGUUCUAGUUUUAAACAAUAAAGCGUAAAGGGGGAGAAAAGCCCUUUUCUUUAUAGCUAUUCUCAUGGAUUUUUCUUAAGAGAUAUUUUACACGUUAGAAAACUUGUAAGAAACGUUUCACUAUAUUUAUAUAUAUAUAUAUUUACAUAUAUAUAUGUAAAUGUUUUAGUGUCUGUACUAUAGGAUUAAUCCUCUUGGUGAUUAUGACAAUAGCCUGAAAUUCUUGAAGUUACUAAGAGUUCCUCAUUAUUUAAUUUGUUUUUUUUUUCCUCCAGUAUAUUAUUUUAAAAUGUUGGAAGAAAAAACGUCCUACUAUGUAAGAAUCUGGUGAGGUUACUCUAUAUAUGACAAUUUACAAGACAAAAUUAUUCAUAAAUAAUUAAGGCUUAAAUUCUCCAUUUUUAUUAUCAUUCUUGAAAUCUGUUUUAUUAACUGAGACAUAAUAGAGAUGUUAAAAGAUUCAU